UGGGGAAUCUUGGACAAUGGGGGCAACCCUGAUCCAGCCAUGCCGCGUGAGUGAUGAAGGCCUUAGGGUCGUAAAGCUCUUUCGCCUGUGAAGAUAAUGACGGUAGCAGGUAAAGAAACCCCGGCUAACUCCGUGCCAGCAGCCGCGGUAAUACGGAGGGGGUUAGCGUUGUUCGGAAUUACUGGGCGUAAAGCGCACGUAGGCGGACCAGAAAGUUGGGGGUGAAAUCCCGGGGGCUCAACCCCGGAACUGCCUCCAAAACUAUUGGUCUAGAGUUCGAGAGAGGUGAGUGGAAUUCCAAGUGUAGAGGUGAAAUUCGUAGAUAUUUGGAGGAACACCAGUGGCGAAGGCGGCUCACUGGCUCGAUACUGACGCUGAGGUGCGAAAAGUGUGGGGAGCAAAACAGGAUUAGAUACCCUGGUAGUCCACACCGUAAAACGAUGAAUGCCAGUCGUCGGGUAGCAUGCUAUUCGGUGACACACCUAACGGAUUAAGCAUUCCGCCUGGGGAGUACGGUCGCAAGAUUAAAACUCAAAUGAAUU
RNAcentral lists this ribosomal RNA (542 nucleotides) under uncultured bacterium. RNAcentral describes it as "bacterial SSU rRNA". It matches the Rfam family "Bacterial small subunit ribosomal RNA", at positions 355 to 911 of the family's 1533-position model. The record is from RNAcentral.